This 722-nucleotide long non-coding RNA is filed under the name Struthio camelus australis. RNAcentral describes it as "lncRNA (ENSSCUG00000012551.1)". Lineage: Eukaryota; Metazoa; Chordata; Aves; Struthioniformes; Struthionidae. The record is from RNAcentral.
CCUCGCCCAGCGUGGCGCGCUGGCGGCCUCCGCAGCCGAGGCUGUGCGCUCCGGUGCUCUGGCGCUGGGCUCGGGCGCGCCCGUGAACAGCGCGGUUUCACACCCAAAGGCACCGUAGUAAAGUGAAGCUAAAAGCCAAAUUGUGCAGGAAGGGGUGGGGGGGAAGGCAGAAGAGUGAGAGGAAAAAUAAGUUUCGGGACAGAACCGAGUGGAGGAAAAAAGAAGUGCUCGCUCCGACGUGUUUGCGUGGCUGCAUGCAAACUGAAACGGACGUACCAUCUCUUCAGCAUUUAAGUAUUCUUCAGUAUCCAGAAAUGCAGUUCAUCAUGUCUCAUCUUUUGUUUGAUUGUUUAUGCGUUAUGCAGGAUCUGAAAAGUCUCUCUUGCGGAGAUCAGCUAUCAAAGCGAAGACUGCUGCUCCUGUGCUGCCUGUGGCCUGCAGCAUUGCUGAUGUCUGUCCAGGAUACUGACAGCUUUUUCUAGAAUAAUGAAUAGGAAUCACUAAAGGACCAGUUUGGGGGCGUUUGGAAGUACCUUCUAAUUUUCCAAGUGUUUGAGCCACAUUUGUUCAUAUCCUACAGCUGAAUCUCUACUGUCUACAGGUAUCUCUAUUGAUUUUGCUCAAUGACGGAAUCAGAUAUGUCACUUUGUCUUGCUUUCUCGGCACUGCAGCUCUGCAGUGAGCUGAAAUAAAGUGUUAAGAUUUGCAAGGCUGACUUGGCA